UGCAAGUCGAACGAUGAUAGAGAGCUUGCUUUUCUUGAUUAGUGGCGCACGGGUGAGUAAUGCAUAGAUAAUGUGCCCCUUAGUUCGGGAUAGCCACUGGAAACGGUGAUUAAUACCGGAUACUCCUUCUUGUUAUAAGACAAGUCGGGAAAGUUUUUCGCUAAGGGAUCAGUCCAUGUUCCAUCAGCUUGUUGGUGAGGUAAUGGCUCACCAAGGCUAUGACGGAUAUCUGGUUUGAGAGGAUGAUCAGACACACUGGAACUGAGACACGGUCCAGACUCCUACGGGAGGCAGCAGUGAGGAAUAUUGCACAAUGGAGGAAACUCUGAUGCAGCAACGCCGCGUGGAGGAUGACGCAUUUCGGUGUGUAAACUCCUUUUAUUAGGGAAGAUAAUGACGGUACCUAAUGAAUAAGCACCGGCUAACUCCGUGCCAGCAGCCGCGGUAAUACGGAGGGUGCAAGCGUUACUCGGAAUCACUGGGCGUAAAGGGUGCGUAGGCUGGCUUUUAAGUCAGAUGUGAAAUCCAAUGGCUCAACCAUUGAACUGCAUUUGAAACUGAAAGCCUAGAGUUCAGAAGGGGCAGAUGGAAUUAGUGGUGUAGGGGUAAAAUCCGUAGAUAUCACUAGGAAUAUCAAAAGCGAAGGCGAUCUGCUGGGA
RNAcentral lists this ribosomal RNA (659 nucleotides) under uncultured bacterium. RNAcentral describes it as "bacterial SSU rRNA". It matches the Rfam family "Bacterial small subunit ribosomal RNA", at positions 56 to 734 of the family's 1533-position model. The record is from RNAcentral.